CGGAUCUCUUAAAGCCGUUCUCAGUUCGGACUGUAGGCUGCAACUCGCCUACACGAAGCUGGAAUCGCUAGUAAUGGCAGGUCAGCAUACUGCCGUGAAUACGUUCCCGGGCCUUGUACACACCGCCCGUCACACCAUGGGAGUCGGAAAUGCCCGAAGUCUGUGACCCAACCUGAAAGGGAGGGAGCAGCCGAAGGCAGGUCGGAUGACUGGGGUGAAGUCGUAACAAGGUAGC
Molecule: ribosomal RNA, 235 nt
Filed under: uncultured bacterium
Lineage: Bacteria
Description: partial 16S ribosomal RNA
Rfam family: Bacterial small subunit ribosomal RNA
Source: RNAcentral